This 253-nucleotide ribosomal RNA is filed under the name uncultured bacterium. RNAcentral describes it as "partial 16S ribosomal RNA". It matches the Rfam family "Bacterial small subunit ribosomal RNA", at positions 524 to 776 of the family's 1533-position model. The record is from RNAcentral.
UACGUAGGGGGCAAGCGUUGUCCGGAUUUAUUGGGCGUAAAGAGCGUGUAGGCGGCUAGGUAGGUCCGUUGUGAAAACUCGGAGCUCAACUCCGAGCCUGCGUUCGAUACUGGACGGCUAGAGUCUGGUAGGGGGAUCUGGAAUUCCUGGUGUAGCGGUGGAAUGCGCAGAUAUCAGGAGGAACACCGGUGGCGAAGGCGGGAUCCUGGGCCAGUACUGACGCUGAGGAGCGAAAGCGUGGGGAGCAAACAGG